GUAACGUCUAGGUGUUUUUGUUAUUUUUAAAGAGUUCUCAUAUUCUUGUCUAUCUUCUGGGGAUAACUUUGCAAGUUUUUCCGGCUUCAUUGAAAUAUAUUUUGGUCGGUCGCUCAAUAUAAAACGUUCAUAAUCCUCUCUUGCUUCCGGAGUCAUUCGCGCUAGGUCACGUUCGGUCCAAUCUGCUGGGUCGACCCAAUUGUGAAAAAAAUUGCGCUUGAGUUUUGGCCUUUCCUCUUCUGUUGGUGGUGGUGUAAGGAAAUUAGGUUUAGGGGUAGCAGGCACUGGUGGUGCUAUCUCAACUAAUUCAUUGGGUUGUGGUAUUUCUGCAGGCACUAGUGGAGUUGUCUGAACAGGAGCUUGAGUCGGAACAUCCAUCUUAUUUUUGAAUGUGAGAAACCGAUUUAGUUGAUCAGAGUAUAAUUUGCUUUUUUCCACUGCGCUUAGCUGUGGUGCAUCCAUGAUUUCUUUCAUUCGCUGCUCGGCAUCAUACAUGGCAUUUACAAGUGGUGGUUGACGAUACGACUGUUUUUGUAUAAACUUUGCAAUCUCACCGGGAAGUACGUUUGUCUUGAGUCGUUGUUGAUCAUCUGUUGUUGGCUUUAAAUCCAACAUCAAAUACGUAUACCCGUGAGGUCGGCUCGUAGCAUCUUCAUAACUCCUCAUAAAUUCUUGUACUCUUCCAGGAUCUACUUGCCUUGCAAGCAUAGAAAUUUGCUGUUUAUCUCUUGGUGACUUGAACAGCACAAUAUAAUGGGCGUUUAGACUGAUAUUUCUCAUUUCUUUGCCUUGAUGGAAUAUAUUUUGAACAAUAUAGAUGAUAGAUAAAUUCCGAUGAUGACUUCCUUUCGUAAAAAGAUCAGAAAUACGUUUAUCUUUGCCAGAUUGAGCCAUAAGGUCGUCCAAUACGACCAAAUUCCGUUGCGAUACGUCCAAGUAAUCUGCGUUGUCGAUGUCUUCGGGGAUGCCUUGAUUAAACUCGAUUCCAGGCAUCGUUCUCAUCAUAUCAAAAUAGGAGGGUUGCCAUUGACCAUAACACCAAAUGAUACGUUGAGGAGCAGGACUUAUAGUUUUCUGUGCAUUCUCCAAGAGAGAUUUUACCCAUACAGUUUUGCCGCUUUGGGUACACCCAGCUACGAUGCACGUAAAUGGGUGUUGCAAAACUGCAGAUCCAUUAGUCGUUAUGUGAAUGUUGACGGUUGGUUUUUGAUCAUGCACUUUUUGUUUGUGUCGAUUUAAAUUGAACGGUUUAGAGAAAUAUUUCCC
Molecule: non-coding RNA, 1266 nt
Organism: Paramuricea clavata
Lineage: Eukaryota; Metazoa; Cnidaria; Anthozoa; Malacalcyonacea; Plexauridae
Source: the annotation of a GenBank genome assembly